UNGAGCUUUGUGUCAGGUGCAGGAAUGAG
RNAcentral lists this non-coding RNA (29 nucleotides) under Mus musculus (house mouse). Lineage: Eukaryota; Metazoa; Chordata; Mammalia; Rodentia; Muridae. The record is from RNAcentral.